GCAGAGACACAUUUGGCUCACUCCUGAAAGAACAUGAAGGGUAAUCAGACCUAUAUAAAGCAUGGAUGGACAGGUAUUCCUAGAUUGGCUGCUUCUUUUGCAGAACUGCCACUUCACAUUGCACCAAACCCUGCCUUGACCCUUCUGCCUGACAGAAGAGGCCGUUCCGCCCUACCCCAGGGCAAUGAUACCACUGUACAAGGUUCCAGCCCACAGCUUAGGAGGUGUGGGUUACCCCCUGCAGGGCUGCAGAAGGUGCUGGAGUGUUGCAAGUUUGCUGCUGGGAGGCUGCCACUUUCCCCCACCAGCCCUGGGGAAAAAAUAGGGGAAGGCUGGAAAAGUCCUGCGGGAGAGGUGCUUCAUGGGGAGGAAGGCUUUCCUGAAGACCAAGUAUAAUAUUCCCUUCUUGACAUUUUUAACAGGAGAACGAAUUACCAUUAGAAAACAGAGCAAAAAGCCACUCCCGCCCUGAAAACAGUGCUUUUUCUGUAGUGCUGCUACUACGUAUAUGGAUUUCACUUACCACCAACCAAAGCGUUCCUUUUCUAAGAGGAGGACUGACGCUUGUAAAGGACUAAGAAGAUUCUGGGCAUCUGGAGUCUCUCGUCGCUGCCAGCUCUUCAGUUAAAUAUAGUUGCAGGCAGUCUGUUGUGUAUAGGGGGAUAAAAAGCAGAUGGCUUUCAAAUCCCUUGUGAAGUUUCUGUAACUGUCAUUUAAAAGAAAACACCUUUGACUUGUGCACCAGGCAAGUCUGAACUAAAACCACAGGGAAAGAGUAAAUAUGAUCCUCCUCGUGCCUUUUUAGAGCCUCUUUUCUGUCCAUAACUGCUCUUUAAAUGUAAAUAAACACUGUUCUCUUAAUAUGUGAAUUUCUGCCCUAAGAACACUCUUAGGGAUUGCACAAAUAUUACCUCAGUGUAUAUUCAGACUUUAUUAAAACAAAUUACUGCAGUACA
This is a long non-coding RNA of Pezoporus occidentalis (night parrot), 956 nucleotides long. RefSeq lists it as uncharacterized. NCBI's taxonomy places the organism in Eukaryota, Metazoa, Chordata, Aves, Psittaciformes, Psittacidae. The record is from RefSeq and is a predicted model, not a curated record. The transcript has 3 exons.